ACUCCUACGGGAGGCAGCAGUGGGGAAUAUUGCACGAAUCGGGCGCAAGCCUGAUGCAGCCAUGCCGCGUGUGUGAAGAAGGCCCUUCGGGUUGAUAAAGCACUUUCAGUGCGAUGAGGAAGGUAGUGUAGUUAAUAGCUGCACUUAUUUGACGUUAGCGACAGAAGAAGCACCGGCUAACUCCGUGCCAGCAGCCGCGGUAAUACGGAGGGUGCGAGCAGUUAAGUCGGAAUU
This 234-nucleotide ribosomal RNA is filed under the name uncultured bacterium. Its description in RNAcentral is "partial 16S ribosomal RNA". It matches the Rfam family "Bacterial small subunit ribosomal RNA", at positions 335 to 552 of the family's 1533-position model. The record is from RNAcentral.